Long non-coding RNA from Heterocephalus glaber (naked mole-rat), 1647 nucleotides. The record is from Ensembl. Lineage: Eukaryota; Metazoa; Chordata; Mammalia; Rodentia; Bathyergidae.
CUGAUUAGUUCCGGAAACUGGCGGAAAUGCUGGCUGUCCGUGUAGCAUCGCCUGGCACUGCCUCUGAGGGGGAGGAAAAAAGGUUUCGUUAUGGCUGGAUGGGGUGGAAGCCUAGGUGGGCACUGUCCCUGCAGGAAGCAGGGACGGAGACUCAUUUCCUCUGAGCGGGGACGAACAUCCCUGCUUCUCACUCGCUUUCUCUGAUACUGUCCGUGUGUGUGUGUGUGUGUGUGUGUGUGUGUGUGUGUGUGUGUGUGUGUGUGUGUGAGAGAGAGAGAGAGAGAGAGAGAGAGAGAGAGAGAGAGAGAGAGAGAGAGAGAGAGAGAGAGAUGGUCUUCCUCAAGCAUAUAUCCUGAAUUCAGGAUACAAAAAGCCUCAAAGCUGUCUUGUACACCCCUAGUCUUACUAGGUGGUCAUUACCCACCUGACCAGUAGAUGACGCCAAAGGCUUAAUUUUUACUUAGGAGGAAGCUACAAGCAAUUAGGUGUGUUUUGGCAUGUUUCACAAAUUUUAAGAUUACGUCUAUACUAGCAAAAGAGCUAUCUUGCAUAUCAAACCCACCAUGUGGAAAAACCUGACUAAAUAACAGGAGAACAGCCUUUCUGGAUUUAUUUUUUUCAGGAAUCCUGAUAUGCACUUCAUAGGAUGAAUUAGAAGACCAUGGGAGGUGGUCAAUGCCCUCACCAACUGUGUUCUUCCUGGAGUAAGGACUGGCUUUUGGAGUGGAACGCUGGAACAAUGAGCAAGAGGCUUCUCUGGCGAAGGUGAAGUCCCGAACCAGGCAGAGAGGCCUGGGGGACACACCCCUGCUGUGUCCGAGGUGCCACAUGCUGUCGCUUGCUCUUUUGCCAGAACUGGACUUUCCCCCACCGACACCUGCUAAGCCACUUCUGUUCCCCAGAACUUCGCCUUUUUACCGCUGCUUCACCAAAGCCAGUUGCUGCUUCUUGUUUCCACUGACCUUUGCCAGCAAAAUGAACACAGCUUGGGCCCCGUUUCCUCCCACUGCACACUUGUGAACGGAAGUCUCAGGUGCAUGAAUCUGCCUGGUGAGCUCAGCUGCUGUGUUUUGCCCUAACUUCAAAGACGGCCAGGGGAAAUGAGUUUUGUGAUUUCCACUCUAGGGAGGCAGGGGAAAUUUCAUGGUACCUCAAAGGUGUCCAGAUCGACGGACACCCACAAAACAUAACCCGUGUCCACACACUGGACACUGUCAAAGUGGCCACUGUGACUAAAGGCUUCAUAUGUUCUCAGAGACCAGCUGACUCACAGACUCACAGGAGUUAAUUAAAUGGAUGCUUUUGUUUUAAGUCACUAUGUUUGGGAGUGGUUUGCUGACAGCAAUAGAUAAUUGAAAUGUAUAUUAUACAUAGUGUGAGUGUGUGUGUGUGUGGGGCCCCUUUUCACUCAAUAUAUAUAUUUUUGGUACUGGGGAUUGAACUCAGGACUUUGUGCUUGCGAGGCAGGUGGCAGAACCACUGAGCUAAAUCCCUAGCACUCAAUAUUUUUUCUGUGAGACUUCCUCUGUUAUAGUACUAUCAGCGGUUCAUUAAUUUUCAUUGCUUAUAUGUAUUCUGUUGUAUGGAUACAUCCCAUUUCAUUUAUCCACUUACUGUUAGACCAAGGACAUUUCUCCUGUGUGAUCG